This 107-nucleotide ribosomal RNA is filed under the name uncultured bacterium. Its description in RNAcentral is "partial 16S ribosomal RNA". It matches the Rfam family "Bacterial small subunit ribosomal RNA", at positions 1379 to 1482 of the family's 1533-position model. The record is from RNAcentral.
CCUUGUACACACCGCCCGUCACACCAUGGGAGUCGUUUGCUCCAGAAGUGGCUAUGCCAACCCGCCAAGGGAGGUAGGUCCCCAAGGAGUGAACGGUAACUGGGGUG